This 416-nucleotide ribosomal RNA is filed under the name uncultured bacterium. RNAcentral describes it as "bacterial SSU rRNA". It matches the Rfam family "Bacterial small subunit ribosomal RNA", at positions 33 to 451 of the family's 1533-position model. The record is from RNAcentral.
UGACGCUGGCGGAAUGCCCACACAUUGUAAAGUCGAACGGCAGCACGGACUUCGGUCUGGUGGCGAGUGGCGAACGGGUAGAUACAUCGGAACGUGCCCUGGAGUGGGGGAUAACUAGUCGAAAGAUUAGCUAAUACCGCAUACGAUCUACGGAUGAAAGUGGGGGACCGCAAGGCCUCAUGCUCCUGGAGCGGCCGAUGUCUGAUUAGCUAGUUGGUGGGGUAAAAGCCUACCAAGGCGACGAUCAGUAGCUGGUCUGAGAGGACGAUCAGCCACACUGGGACUGAGACACGGCCCAGACUCCUACGGGAGGCAGCAGUGGGGAAUUUUGGACAAUGGGGGCAACCCUGAUCCAGCAAUGCCGCGUGAGUGAAGAAGGCCUUCGGGUUGUCAAGCUCUUUUGUCAGGGAAGAAAC